GUCACAGCCAUAGACUUUACCCUUACUGUUCUUACUGGGUCUCAGACCCAGUCCUUAUGUUCCUGCACUCCAAGUGGCACAUUUAAGUUUUCUGAGCGGUCCUCUUGAAGUUCCUGUUACUUGUAUUGAAUUACAAUCCAAUAAUUUUUUCCCAUGGAAAUUCUCUCCCUACCUCUUCCAACUCAACUGGAAGAUGAUGCUGACCAACUUGGUCAUUGCCUUUGCAAGUCCCACACAAGUGGCCUAGCACUCCUUUAAUAUGGGGUACUUGGAACGUCUUGCCUUAUUCUUGGAUUUUUGGUGCCUCCAUCAAAAAUAAAGCAGGAUGACUUCAGUGUUAUUAUCAUCCAGCAACAUUAGUUAAUACUCUUGACUCAGGCUCAGUGGUGUACUGGAGCUGGUUGUUAACCAUGGCCAUUAUUGAAGUUUAAAUGACACAAAAUUCCAAUUAAAUAAAUUGUAUUACAAAGGAAGGUAACAAAUUGUCAAAGAUCAUCAUUUCCUAAUUAUUUCACUCCAUUUUACUGUUACCUUUACUCUUGGGAUUAUUUACGUCUAUUGUAUCUGUAUGGUUAAAAAAAAAAAAUUAUGUGAUGGUGUACCACUGCACAUUUUUUCCCAACUCUGCAUUCAGUGACCUAACUUUGAUAGCUUGAAAUUGGUUAUAGUAGGAGUAUUUACACCAAGGAAAUUGGCAAGUGCAACAAAUCGGGUUCUCCCUACCUCUAGGCCUGUUAUUAAACACUUACCAGUUCACCGCUGCUCAGGAUCCACUCUUCAAAGAUGUUAAGAACUAGCAAGAUAACAGAUGCUAUCCAAGAUGUGACUGCUUCCACUUCACCUUUGGCCAUGAUUGUAAGUUUCCUGAGGCCUCCCCAGCCAUCGUUCCUGUACAGCCUGCAGAACU
Non-coding RNA from Chlorocebus sabaeus (green monkey), 907 nucleotides. The record is from RefSeq and is a predicted model, not a curated record. NCBI's taxonomy places the organism in Eukaryota, Metazoa, Chordata, Mammalia, Primates, Cercopithecidae.